UACGUAGGGGGCAAGCGUUGUCCGGAAUCAUUGGGCGUAAAGAGCGUGUAGGCGGCCCGAUAAGUCCGCUGUGAAAGUCCAGGGCUCAACCCUGGGAUGCCGGUGGAUACUGUCGGGCUCGAGUCCGGAAGAGGAGUGUGGAAUUCCUGGUGUAGCGGUGGAAUGCGCAGAUAUCAGGAGGAACACCGGUGGCGAAGGCGGGUCUCUGGGCAGUAACUGACGCUGAGGAGCGAAAGCGUGGGGAGCGAACAGG
Molecule: ribosomal RNA, 253 nt
Filed under: uncultured bacterium
Lineage: Bacteria
Description: partial 16S ribosomal RNA
Rfam family: Bacterial small subunit ribosomal RNA
Source: RNAcentral